AUAAUUUUAAGUUAAUGGAAACUAUUAAUUUUCAAAAUUAAAAAUAUAUUUGUAUGUAUAAAUUAUA
This 67-nucleotide transfer RNA is filed under the name Aegilips sp. ZJUH 20220002. RNAcentral describes it as "tRNA-Trp". Lineage: Eukaryota; Metazoa; Arthropoda; Insecta; Hymenoptera; Figitidae. The record is from RNAcentral.